UUUUGCGGGAAGAGGAGCCGCUGUACCUGCAGUGCUGCUUUUCUUGCCUAGACUCUAGGAACUAUCCGAGCUCCACUCCCCACAACAUACUCAAAGGAACGGAGAGAACCAGGACCCCCCUGCGGGGACCCGGAACUGAUCUGACAGGAUGGCAUCUGAUGACUUUGACAUAGUGAUUGAGGCCAUGCUGGAAGCUCCCUAUAAAAAAGAAGAGGAAGAAGAGGAGUCGGAGCCAUAGUAAAAGCAGGGAUAGAAAGCGCAGUCGUAGUCGAGAUCGGGAUCGGUAUAGACGGAGAAAUAGUCGGAGCCGAAGUCGAGGUCGGCAGCGUCGUCACCGUAGCCGUAGCUGGGAUCGUCGACAUAGUAGUGAGUCGCGAAGUCGGGACCAUCGUCGUGAGGAUCGUGUGCAUUACAGGAGUCCUCCACUUGCCACUGGGGAGCCAAUUGAUAAUCUGAGUCCUGAGGAGCGUGAUGCCCGCACAGUUUUCUGUAUGCAGUUAGCUGCCCGAAUUCGGCCUCGAGAUCUGGAGGACUUUUUCUCUGCUGUAGGCAAGGU
Molecule: small RNA, 556 nt
Filed under: Pan troglodytes (chimpanzee)
Lineage: Eukaryota; Metazoa; Chordata; Mammalia; Primates; Hominidae
Description: processed transcript
Source: RNAcentral